RNA transcript from Fragaria vesca subsp. vesca, 788 nucleotides. RefSeq lists it as uncharacterized. The record is from RefSeq and is a predicted model, not a curated record. NCBI's taxonomy places the organism in Eukaryota, Viridiplantae, Streptophyta, Magnoliopsida, Rosales, Rosaceae. The transcript has 6 exons.
CAAAUAAGAAGAGAAGACAAGAGGAAAGCCCUAAUCUCCCACCUAAUGGCCUCCGCCAACGAGCAGCGAUCCCAGGCCGAGCUCCUCUUCAACCUCUACAAGCAGACCGAUCCUGACUCGCUCUCACUCAAACCCGCGACGACACCUAUCUCUGGCCGCGUCUCUCUCCGAACACUCAGUCCACUGUCAAGAUCUCUCUCUGUCUCUCGCUUCAUAAAUCGGAGUUGUGCAGUCAGUAACCAAAUCCAAAUUCUUUCCAGAUUUGGUCUCCAAGAAUUUCAGGUUCUGUGAUUGAUUGCUUUUCGUAGUAAGGAGAGUUCUAUCAAGGCCAAGAAAGGCACAAGACGAGACUACAUAUUGGCCAAUUAGUGAAGGAUACUUCAGAGAAACGAGAUCACCAUACUGAAGUUAAUCUUCUAUUCAGUUGGUUCACUAAAAGAGUGUUGGAAAUACAAAGCUGUUAAUAUACAGAUAUCAACACCAGAUAUUGUUGAAUGCUUCUUUAACAGUAGCCUUGGCACGUACUAAAUGAUUAACAAGCUCAAGUAUAUUUUUAGUUCCUUGAAUUGGAGCUAUCACAAGAAGAAAUAUGCCAAAGUCCCGCUGCAACGCGCGGGCAUCUUUCUAAUAAUUAGCUAGUCAAAUAAUGGGAUGAAUCUAGUUCAUAAUGACCAACAACUCGGCCAUUCUUCAACUUUUCAACACUACUCGCCAAACUUUAUAUUUCAUGACUUCAUGAGCAUUAUAGUUAUUCGGUAAAUUACGAAGUUGCAAAACUUUACCUUAGU